UUCCUGACCUCGGAUCAGACGUGAUUACCCGCUGAACUUAAGCAUAUCACUAAGCGGAGGAAGAGAAACUAACGAGGAUUCCCCUAGUAACUGCGAGUGAACAGGGAUUAGCCCAGCACCGAAUCCUGUGGCCAUUUGGCUACUAGGAAAUGUGGUGUUCAGGUUGUUCCGCAAAGGUGCUGCUCCACCCUAAGUCCAUCCAUGAGUGCGGUAGUUUGGACCAGGCCCAUAGAGGGUGAAAGGCCCGUGGGGGUGGAGA
Molecule: ribosomal RNA, 259 nt
Filed under: Microphallidae sp. 3LF-1471
Lineage: Eukaryota; Metazoa; Platyhelminthes; Trematoda; Plagiorchiida; Microphallidae
Also listed under: 3 other names
Description: partial 28S ribosomal RNA
Rfam family: Eukaryotic large subunit ribosomal RNA
Source: RNAcentral